UACAGAGGGGGCAAGCGUUGUUCGGAAUUACUGGGCGUAAAGGGCGCGUAGGCGGCCAACUAAGUCGGACGUGAAAUCCCUCAGCUUAACUGGGGAACUGCGUCCGAUACUGGAUGGCUUGGAUUUGGGAGAGGGAUGCGGAAUUCCAGGUGUAGCGGUGAAAUGCGUAGAUAUCUGGAGGAACACCGGUGGCGAAGGCGGCAUCCUGGACCAAUAUUGACGCUGAGGAGCGAAAGCCAGGGGAGCAAACGGG
Molecule: ribosomal RNA, 253 nt
Filed under: uncultured bacterium
Lineage: Bacteria
Description: partial 16S ribosomal RNA
Rfam family: Bacterial small subunit ribosomal RNA
Source: RNAcentral